Molecule: ribosomal RNA, 482 nt
Filed under: uncultured bacterium
Lineage: Bacteria
Description: partial 16S ribosomal RNA
Rfam family: Bacterial small subunit ribosomal RNA
Source: RNAcentral
AUUGAACGCUGGCGGCAUGCCUUACACAUGCAAGUCGAACGGUAACGGGCCUUCGUUUGCCUUCUUGUGGCUCACGGGUGAGUAAUUCAUCCGUACGUGCCCGUUCGUUGUGUUUAUCGUGUCUACAGCUUUGCUAUUUCCUCAUACGAUCUUCGUAUCUCAGCCGUGUACCGCAAGGCCUUUCGCCGUCUGUCCUGCCUAUGGCAGAUUAGGUAGUUGGUGGGUUAAAAGCUUACCAAGUCGACGAUCUGUACCUGGUCUGAGAGGAUGAUCAGUCACACUGGAACGGAGACACGGACCAGACUACUACGGGAGGCAGCAGUGGGGAAUAUUGGACAAUGGGCGCAAGCCUGAUACAGCCAUGCCGCGUGAAGGAAGAAGGCCUUCGGGUUGUAAAGUGCUUUUGUAGGGAAAGAAAAGCAUUAUGUUAAUAGAGGAGGGUAAUGACGGUAGCGAAAGAAGAAGCACCGGCUAACUACGUG